UAAAUGUUCUAAUGUGGAGUUGCAGCUCUAGAAUAUAAAAUUUCCAGCAGGGCUGAAGAACAAAACGUGGUAGGGACUAGGGAACUAAGCAACCUUGUGCCUUGAUAAAUUGGGCAAUUUUAGGCCAUUUUAAGCUGUUCUGAGAAGACAACAAUAAUAAUAACAAGCAUGUAUACUACUAUCUGACUCGGUUGUUUGCAUGAUAGUAAAAAUGUUACCUUUCAGAGUCUUCGUUUUUCUGAGUCCAAGCUUUCAGUGACCUGCUGUUACGUGACUGUUCAACCAUAGAAUGGUCACAGAACCAGUAAGGUACAGUAGUUCCCUGAAUGAUGUUGUUAUGACAACAGCGAAAGCUUGGACUCAGAAAAAUGAAAACUCUGAAAGGUAACAUUUUCACUAACAAUAAUGAUAAUCAUUAUUGUCAUUAGUUUGUUUCCUUCAAUUCUAGUAAUCAAUAACAGUAUUUGUUUUGUUUUGUUGUAAAGUUGCACACAGUUGUUACAUUAGCGCUGGUAGGAUUCACUCUUGGUGCUCCUGUCUUCAAUUAUAUGGAUCACUCCUACCUCCAAAUGCUAAGGUACACUACUGCAUUGACAACCAUUGCAUCUGGCCUGAGUUACAUUCUCUCUAAAGAUACAGUCAAGUUUUUAAGAAAGAACAAAUGAACUUAUCAAGAUUUUUAAAAAUGUAUGAUUAUGUAGAGUGAAACCAUUAUGAUGUGAAGAUCUACCAAGCACCCUCCAUUUCGAGACUCCUCUAAUUCACGCUUUCAAAGAAUCAAUAAAAAUCGUGUAUUUUAACACAAAGCUAACCUCAACUUUUCAUGUCCCUUGAGGGUAUAAUAAGCCUUUAUAGAUGAGAUUAACUGGUUUCCUGAAUCAUUUAGUUGAGGAAAGUAUUGUAUAAAGUUUGUUUGAAAGGUUUGCUUAAAAAUUUCCUGACCAUCUGUAUACUGGAAUACCUACAGUAGUAUGAUAUUCCCCACUAAAAGCAUAACUGCCCUCAACAUUAAUUAAAUAUAAAAUACGCUGUUGUUGACAAUUAUAAAUUAUAAAUUAAUAAAUAUAAAUAUGCAAAAGCUCUAGUUUUAGGAGUUUUAGCAUACAUUAUGCUAUAUGUAAUCAUUUUCAAGGCAAAAAAUCUCGGAUUUCAUUUCGAAAUCGAAUUAAACUACAUAAGUCAAUAAUUUUUAAAAUUGUGGUCAGUCCUGUAAAUAUGCUCAGGUUCAGUGGUUAUGCUCCGCUUAGUGAAUAUGCUCAGUGAAUAUGCUUAGUUCAUAUAAUAUGCUCAACUAGGUGGAUGUACUCAACUUGCUGAGCUUAGAAGGAGCUUGGUGAAUGUGCUUGCGCUCAGGAGUGGACCAGCAUUUUUCGUUAGUAGGGCUCAGGAUUUUAAAUUGUUUUAGUUAUCAUCCUAUGUAUGCCUCACUAUAUUGGGGCUGACAGAUCCGUAUUCGGGGGUGGUGGCGAUUUGUGCGUACAUACCCCUCCACCUCACAAACUAGGAAAUUUACACGUUGCAAUGCAUAGAAUGAACUGAAUGUAAAAUUGUGAAAGAUUAAAAGAGUUUUUAAUCUUUACGUUGAAUUUUAAAGUAGUAUCAACGUUUCAAUUAGUAUCUUCAUUUGAAUUGUCACUUUACAGUGUAGUACUAUUAAAGAACACACCCGCCGCCAAAAACGAUCGUCUAUUCAACAGCGACGUUGAUUUAUGUCUAUAAACACCUGAUAUAAUCUAAAGCCACAUGGACUGAGCGAGAUGAACUGUGGUGUAAAAAUAAUUGCUUUCCCACUUGUGUUACCUACAUAGGGUACUACGAUGUCAUAUUAAAGCAGGUAAAGUUACAAAUAAAA
Molecule: long non-coding RNA, 1852 nt
Organism: Anneissia japonica
Lineage: Eukaryota; Metazoa; Echinodermata; Crinoidea; Comatulida; Comatulidae
Exons: 2
Source: RefSeq, a predicted model, not a curated record